GAACGCACAUUGCGCCCGGUGGUAUUCCACCGGGCAUGCCUGUUCGAGCGUCAUUUCAACCCUCAAAGCCUAGCUUUGGUGUUGGAGGAAUACCUGUAAAAGGGUACCCUCUGAAAUUUAGUGGCGGGCUCGCUAGAAUUUUGAGCGUAGUAAUUUUACCUCGUUUUUAAAGACUAGUGGGUUCUUGCCGUAAAACCCCCCAACUUUCUGAAAAUUGACCUCGGAUCAGGUAGGAAUACCCGCUGAACUUAAG
This 253-nucleotide unclassified non-coding RNA is filed under the name uncultured Gnomoniaceae. RNAcentral describes it as "sequence contains 5.8S rRNA gene". The stretch from base 1 to 53 matches the Rfam family "5.8S ribosomal RNA", at positions 102 to 154 of the family's 154-position model. Lineage: Eukaryota; Fungi; Ascomycota; Sordariomycetes; Diaporthales; Gnomoniaceae. The record is from RNAcentral.